CGGUAGUUCAUAAAUAAGUAAACCUAUUUAUUUUGGCGGCAUUUCAUCUAAAAAGAGGAACUUGUCCCUUAAUCGAUACCCCUCGAUAUAUUUCACUUAUUUUCAUAAUUUAUAUACCGCCAUCUUAAGAAUUAAUCUUAAUAUAUUUCUCUAAAUAAUAAACUAAAAAAUUAGGUCAAGGUGUAAUAAACAUCUAAGAAAAAGAUGAGUUACAAUAAAACUCAUUUAAGGAUAUAAAAUCUAAAAAUUCUAUUAAAAUAGGAUUUUUAAGUAAUUUUAAUAAAUAAUAUUUUAAAAUGAAAAAGAUAAUAAAUGUGC
RNAcentral lists this ribosomal RNA (318 nucleotides) under Paramatachia sp. CG277. RNAcentral describes it as "partial 12S ribosomal RNA". The record is from RNAcentral. Lineage: Eukaryota; Metazoa; Arthropoda; Arachnida; Araneae; Desidae.